UCUUUGUAGAUGUUAAAAGCCAGAGACAUGGGAGAUCAUCAUUCUUUUGAGAUUUUAUAACUCAAACCAACUUUGGAGUUGUCUGAUUUGGAGACUCAUCAUUCUUGGUCUUCCCUCUUAAAGAUCACUGAUUAAGAGCAGGGGGUGACUGGGAUGAAUGCUGGUCA
Carassius carassius (crucian carp) is the source of this 167-nucleotide long non-coding RNA. RefSeq lists it as uncharacterized. The record is from RefSeq and is a predicted model, not a curated record. The transcript is spliced from 3 exons. NCBI's taxonomy places the organism in Eukaryota, Metazoa, Chordata, Actinopteri, Cypriniformes, Cyprinidae.